RNAcentral lists this ribosomal RNA (505 nucleotides) under uncultured bacterium. RNAcentral's name for it is "bacterial SSU rRNA". It matches the Rfam family "Bacterial small subunit ribosomal RNA", at positions 15 to 507 of the family's 1533-position model. The record is from RNAcentral.
GAUCCUGGCUCAGGAUGAACGCUAGCUACAGGCUUAACACAUGCAAGUCGAGGGGCAGCAUGAGCUCAGUUAUUCUGGGUUUGAUGGCGACCGGCGCACGGGUGAGUAACACGUAUCCAACCUGCCGAUGACUCGGGGAUAGCCUUUCGAAAGAAAGAUUAAUACCCGAUGGCAUAGUUCUUCCGCAUGGUAGAACUAUUAAAGAAUUUCGGUCAUCGAUGGGGAUGCGUUCCAUUAGGUUGUUGGCGGGGUAACGGCCCACCAAGCCUUCGAUGGAUAGGGGUUCUGAGAGGAAGGUCCCCCACAUUGGAACUGAGACACGGUCCAAACUCCUACGGGAGGCAGCAGUGAGGAAUAUUGGUCAAUGGACGAGAGUCUGAACCAGCCAAGUAGCGUGAAGGAUGACUGCCCUAUGGGUUGUAAACUUCUUUUAUACGGGAAUAAAGUCGAGGCCACGUGUGCCUUUUUGUAUGUACCGUAUGAAUAAGGAUCGGCUAACUCCGUG